Molecule: long non-coding RNA, 152 nt
Organism: Anneissia japonica
Lineage: Eukaryota; Metazoa; Echinodermata; Crinoidea; Comatulida; Comatulidae
Exons: 2
Source: RefSeq, a predicted model, not a curated record
AGAGCUGUGGUUUGCUUAUAAAGACAGUGGAGGAGACAGGAAGUGUAGCGCGUGAGAUCCGUGACCUUGAGGACCAGAUCGACUCCGAGAGCAAGAACAAGACAAUAGCUAACCUAGAAAAAAUCUCAGAGGAUUAUGUGCAGAUGAAAAAA